UACGUAGGGUGCGAGCGUUGUCCGGAAUUAUUGGGCGUAAAGAGCUCGUAGGCGGUGUGUCGCGUCGGUCGUGAAAACUUUCAGCUUAACUGGGAGCUUGCGGUCGAUACGGGCAUCACUGGAGUUCGGCAGGGGAGACUGGAAUUCCUGGUGUAGCGGUGAAAUGCGCAGAUAUCAGGAGGAACACCGGUGGCGAAGGCGGGUCUCUGGGCCGUAACUGACGCUGAGGAGCGAAAGCGUGGGGAGCGAACAGG
Molecule: ribosomal RNA, 254 nt
Filed under: uncultured bacterium
Lineage: Bacteria
Description: partial 16S ribosomal RNA
Rfam family: Bacterial small subunit ribosomal RNA
Source: RNAcentral